GCUGGUCUUAUCUUCCGGAUCCUACUCUAUCUCCAUGGUGAUGGUGAUGUCGAUGAGAUGAAGAAUGCAUGGACUUACUUUUGGAUUCUUUUGGCUUUUUAAUAGCUGCAAUUUGCUCCAACGUCUCUCCGACUUCUUUCAUUGAAGGCCGCUUCNACUUACUUUUGGAUUCUUUUGGCUUUUUAAUAGCUGCAAUUUGCUCCAACGUCUCUCCGACUUCUUUCAUUGAAGGCCGCUUCCUGGGUUCUGAUUCAAGGCAUCUUAAAGAGAGUUGAGCUGCCUGUAAUGCCGCCUUUGAAGAAUAUUGACCUUCCAUCCGUGCAUCCAUAAUGCUCAUUAGCUUCCUUUUCUGAUGGAGAAAGGGUUUAGCAUAAUCAAC
Molecule: long non-coding RNA, 379 nt
Filed under: Olea europaea (common olive)
Lineage: Eukaryota; Viridiplantae; Streptophyta; Magnoliopsida; Lamiales; Oleaceae
Description: long non-coding RNA (OEUR_LNC010651)
Source: RNAcentral